AACGCUGGCGGCGUGCCUAAUACAUGCAAGUCGAGCGAACAGAUAAGGAGCUUGCUCCUUUGAAUUUAGCGGCGGACGGGUGAGUAACACGUGGGUAACCUACCUAUAAGACUGGGAUAACUUCGGGAAACCGGAGCUAAUACCGGAUAAUAUUUAGAACCGCAUGGUUCUAAAGUGAAAGAUGGUUUUGCUAUCACUUAUAGAUGGACCCGCGCCGUAUUAGCUAGUUGGUAAGGUAACGGCUUACCAAGGCGACGAUACGUAGCCGACCUGAGAGGGUGAUCGGCCACACUGGAACUGAGACACGGUCCAGACUCCUACGGGAGGCAGCAGUAGGGAAUCUUCCGCAAUGGGCGAAAGCCUGACGGAGCAACGCCGCGUGAGUGAUGAAGGGUUUCGGCUCGUAAAACUCUGUUAUUAGGGAAGAACAAAUGUGUAAGUAACUGUGCACAUCUUGACGGUACCUAAUCAGAAAGCCACGGCUAACUACGUGCCAGCAGCCGC
RNAcentral lists this ribosomal RNA (504 nucleotides) under uncultured bacterium. RNAcentral's name for it is "bacterial SSU rRNA". It matches the Rfam family "Bacterial small subunit ribosomal RNA", at positions 32 to 518 of the family's 1533-position model. The record is from RNAcentral.